UACGUAGGGGGCGAGCGUUGUCCGGAAUCAUUGGGCGUAAAGAGCGCGCAGGCGGCUUGGCAAGUCGGGUGUGAAAUCCCGGGGCUCAACCCCGUGACUGCAUCCGAUACUGUCAGGCUAGAGGUAGGUAGGGGAGAUCGGAAUUCCUGGUGUAGCGGUGAAAUGCGCAGAUAUCAGGAGGAACACCGGUGGCGAAGGCGGAUCUCUGGGCCUUACCUGACGCUCAGGCGCGAAAGCUAGGGGAGCGAACAGG
Molecule: ribosomal RNA, 253 nt
Filed under: uncultured bacterium
Lineage: Bacteria
Description: partial 16S ribosomal RNA
Rfam family: Bacterial small subunit ribosomal RNA
Source: RNAcentral